CUAGUAUCGCGAGAUCAGGAAGGUGGCCGAGUGUGUCGCCGCGGCCAUCAGGCACUUCUCCUUCCUGCCCUUGUAUGAAGAAGGAUGUGUUUGCUUCCCCUUGUGCCAUGAUUGUAAAUUUCCUGAGGCCUCCUCAGCCCUGCAGAACUGGCUAGAGCAAUGUAUCUUAGGCUCACUUAAGGAAGCUGUAGAGAUGAGCCCAAGGAGGGAAACCAGAAGAGCCCCCCAGGCUCACCAGUUGUUUGUUGGCUCCCUACAAACAUGUCAUUCAAGUGGCUAAUCUUACAACAGCACAAAUUCAUCUAACCAGAAAGAGAAGAGGAGGCUCCAAAGGCACUUGACUACUGAGCAUCACCCUGGACGUGUACAAGUCUGCGUCCUUAUUGUUUUCUUCAUUGGGCCGAACUUUCUGGUCCUCAUCCAACAGCUCUUCUAUCACGUGUUCGAAAGUGUCAGCCAAUGAUGUCAAGCCUCUUGAACCUGCCUUGGGCCCAUUCACGCUCUCCAGAGUCCCAUGGGUCCGCACACCUGGGUAGGCCAAGCCACCUUGUCCUCGGAUGUUUGCUUCUUUCAUGGGGGCAGCCUUCAUGCAACCAAAGUAUGAAAUAACCAUAAGAUACUCUAUUAUAGCAAAGAAGAAAGAUAAUUUCAUUGAGCCAUCCUGUUUUACAGGAUUUUCCCUCCUGGUGAGUCAAAAUGAACAAGAAAUACCCCAGGACCUCCCUUCCCUCCUUGGCCAUUAAUGAGAUGAAGGCAAUUAACUCACAUAGUAUAAAUGAAUCAUUUGAGGUGAUGACUGCAUUUUAGGCAAAUGAUGACUUUCUUGGUUCCAUUGGUUUGCAAGUAAAAGUUACACACAUUGAAAAGACACUGAAACAGAUUUCCUAAAUGCUUCAUUUUCUGGAUGCACCAAUGUUGACCUACUAUACAUGUUAAAUGGUUUUAAAAUAUCACCUUAAAAUAAAGGAAACUUCCAGCUACUAACUCAGCUCUGAAUGGGCUAUGAAAGGCUCCAAAGGUAUGUGAAAAAUUACUGUUAUUUUGCUUUAAAAAAUGUGAUGUCUAAGAGUGUCUGCAAUGUUCUAAUGCUUCAAAACAUGUACGUAAGCCUUGUUUAUCUGGAAAUCAUUUCUUUCUGCUUAUAUCAUUUAUAAAUAGAAAAUGUUCUGUAAUAACUUAAAAUAGUUCCACAUACAUAAUGCUUUUAGUGUCAUAAUACUUACUACUGGUCUAUAUUUACCAACAUUUAUCACAUUUUACAAAAUGAAGUAGAAGAAAAAAAAGACAACGACUUUAUGGCCCUGGAAUUCCAGUAAUGGUGACCAACAUGUUUUAAAUUCCAGUAAAGGUUAUGGUUACAUUUCAACAAGUGUCUCUUUCCUUUUUUUUACCUCUCCUGCUAACCCAGAGGUAAAUUUCCCAAAAA
This 1426-nucleotide long non-coding RNA is filed under the name Homo sapiens (human). RNAcentral describes it as "BDNF antisense RNA". The record is from RNAcentral. Lineage: Eukaryota; Metazoa; Chordata; Mammalia; Primates; Hominidae.